UUAAUAUUAAAGGGCUGCAGUAUAUUGACUGUACAAAGGUAGCAUAAUCAUUAGUCAUUUAAUUGAUGACUUGUAUGAAAGAUUGGAUGAAAUAUAAACUGUCUCUUAUUUAAUUAUAAAAUUUAAUUUUUUUAUUAAAAAGUUAAAAUAUUUUAAAAAGACGAGAAGACCCUAUAGAGUUUUAUAAAUUAUUAAAUUGAGAUUAUAUGUAAAAUAAAUUUAAAAUUAAAUUAUUUAUUUUGUUGGGGUGAUAAAAAAAUAUAUUUAACUUUUUUUAAUUAUAAAACAUUUAUAAGUGGUUAAAUGAUCCAAUAAUAUUGAUUAUAAGAAAAAAUUACCUUAGGGAUAACAGCGUAAUUUUUUUUUUUAGUUCAAAUAAAAAAAAAAGUUUGCGACCUCGAUGUUGGAUUAAGAUAAAAUUUAAAUGUAGAAG
This 433-nucleotide ribosomal RNA is filed under the name Acrapex sysciodes. Its description in RNAcentral is "partial 16S large subunit ribosomal RNA". Lineage: Eukaryota; Metazoa; Arthropoda; Insecta; Lepidoptera; Noctuidae. The record is from RNAcentral.